UGUGAAAUGAUGCCUUGUACAGGCAAUGCUAUCUGCAACUAGAUAUGGGAGUCAUUAAAUCUCCUUUUGGAGAUUUGGAGACAUGGGAGUCAGAAGCUCACAUCCUGCAGUGACUGGCCACAGAGGGGAGACCUGGACCACACAUUCACAGAGGGUGACAUAUAACACGGCCAGAUCUUCCCCGGCAGGCAGAAGUUGCAGCUUCUCCAAAAGCAUGCAGACGAGCCCAGCGAGGACGGAGCAGCCCGGCAAAUCGCUGCCUGCAGCAGGGACCGGUCAGGCGGUCUCAGGAACGGAGAACAUGGCUGGCUCAGGACACGGAGCUGCCGGGUUGGAGUUAUGCAGCUGAAGCAUGAAAUGAGCCAAUGCUGAACGCGUGAUGAGAGGAGAAGGGUUUUUUCCUGAGAGUAGACUAUCGGCGGGGUUCAGCCGGGAGUGGAAGGAAUAAAGGAAAGGCUACACAUAAUUCA
RNAcentral lists this long non-coding RNA (470 nucleotides) under Struthio camelus australis. Its description in RNAcentral is "lncRNA (ENSSCUG00000008014.1)". The record is from RNAcentral. Lineage: Eukaryota; Metazoa; Chordata; Aves; Struthioniformes; Struthionidae.